This 245-nucleotide ribosomal RNA is filed under the name uncultured bacterium. RNAcentral describes it as "partial 16S ribosomal RNA". It matches the Rfam family "Bacterial small subunit ribosomal RNA", at positions 1256 to 1500 of the family's 1533-position model. The record is from RNAcentral.
GUCGAGGUAGAGCAAAUCACAAAACUACGGUCUCAGUUCAGAUUGCAGGCUGCAACUCGCCUGCAUGAAGUUGGAAUUGCUAGUAAUCGCGAAUCAGAAUGUCGCGGUGAAUACGUUCCCGGGUCUUGUACACACCGCCCGUCACACCAUGGGAGUUGGGAAUGCCCGAAGCCGGUGACCUAACCGAAAGGGAGGAGCCGUCGAAGGCAGGCUUGAUAACUGGGGUGAAGUCGUAACAAGGUAGC